This 390-nucleotide ribosomal RNA is filed under the name Bantia sp. MN216. RNAcentral's name for it is "partial 12S ribosomal RNA". The record is from RNAcentral. Lineage: Eukaryota; Metazoa; Arthropoda; Insecta; Mantodea; Thespidae.
AUUAGAUACCCUAUUAUUUUUUAUAUUUUCUUUUAAGCUUAGGUAGUAUUAGAUAAGAUCUUGAAACUUAAAGAAUUUGGCGGUAUUUUAGUCUAUUUAGAGGAAUCUGUUUAUUAAUCGAUAAUCCGCGUUGUAUCUUACUUUAAUUAAUUUUUUGUAUAUCUCUGUUUAUUGAAUAUACUUUUAGGUUAAUAAAAUUUUCUUAAUAAAUAAAUUUAAUUAAAAUUUCAAGUCAAGGUGCAGUAAUAUUAAAGUUAAAAUGGAUUACAAUAAAUUUUAUUUAUUUAAUGAAUAUAUAUUUGUAAUUGGUAAUUGAAGGUGGAUUUAAUUGUAAUUUUUUGAAGAUUAUUAAAAUGAUUAAUUAGCUCUAAAAUAUGUACACAUCGCCCG